CAGCAGCCGCGGGAAUACGGAGGGCGCGAGCGUUACCCGGAUUUACUGGGCGUAAAGGGCGUGUAGGCGGCCUGGGGCGUCCCAUGUGAAAGGCCACGGCUCAACCGUGGAGGAGCGUGGGAUACGCUCAGGCUAGAGGGUGGGAGAGGGUGGUGGAAUUCCCGUAGUAGCGGUGAAAUGCGCAGAUACCGGGAGGAACGCCGAUGGCGAAGGCAGCCACCUGGUCCACUUCUGACGCUGAGGCGCGAAAGCGUGGGGAGCAAACCGGAUUAGAUACCCGAGUAGUCCCUGUCUCUUAUAA
RNAcentral lists this ribosomal RNA (301 nucleotides) under uncultured bacterium. Its description in RNAcentral is "partial 16S ribosomal RNA". It matches the Rfam family "Bacterial small subunit ribosomal RNA", at positions 509 to 809 of the family's 1533-position model. The record is from RNAcentral.